GUGCUUGGGCCGUCGGGGCAAUGACGUAGCUAGUGAGGUAAUACCGAGGGACGUCAAUUGCUGGUUGAAAACUAUUUCCAAACCCCUCUUUGGCCCUUUAGGGCAUGUACUCCUCCGUUCUUAAAUAUAAG
Non-coding RNA from Hordeum vulgare subsp. vulgare (domesticated barley), 131 nucleotides. NCBI's taxonomy places the organism in Eukaryota, Viridiplantae, Streptophyta, Magnoliopsida, Poales, Poaceae. The record is from Rfam.